GCGUGCGUCCCUCCGCUCAUGCGUGAAUCGUUUUUCCGCCUACUGACUCCCACUCACCACCACGAACAGGUGAAACCCUCACUUUUUCCCCAUCGUUCGUCUCUCUCGUGUGCGGCGGCGGCGGCAGCUCAUCUAGCAGAGAGGCCACGAGAGGUGAUUUGAAGCCAUAAAUCCUAUUCUAUUCUUUGUAAGCAGUCUGUAGCAGAGUACUAUGAGUAUAACUUGGAGCAGAGCACCUUCAAUCUGAGCAUGGCCACGGGGCAAUAUGCAAAAUGCUCAAAUGACCCUCUUGGUACAGAAGUGAUUAAUCUUGAAGAAGACAUAGCCAAGAAACCCCUGCUUGAAGAGCCCAAACCAAAAAAAGUACAUGAAUGAUGGUGAUUGCAUAUGUGAUGACUUUGGGAGAACAAGAAAGUACUCCCAGAUUUUAGUUUGGAUUUCCUUGCUCUUUACUAUGGUCUUUGGGAGAACAUGAAUGAUGGUGAUUGCAUAUGUGAUGAUUAACUUGUACUUUUGAUGACAACCAAGAGAAUUACUAUGGGUUGUAUAACUAUUAGGUUUUAGUACUCUAUGCACUGUUGAACUAUGAGUUGUAUGCACUUGGUUAAAUGUCAAAUGAUGAACUAUUAUAUGUGGCAGAGUUCAAAUUAGUUUA
Molecule: long non-coding RNA, 655 nt
Organism: Triticum dicoccoides
Lineage: Eukaryota; Viridiplantae; Streptophyta; Magnoliopsida; Poales; Poaceae
Exons: 3
Source: RefSeq, a predicted model, not a curated record